RNAcentral lists this ribosomal RNA (429 nucleotides) under Bacillota bacterium. RNAcentral's name for it is "Firmicutes bacterium partial 16S ribosomal RNA". It matches the Rfam family "Bacterial small subunit ribosomal RNA", at positions 355 to 776 of the family's 1533-position model. The record is from RNAcentral. Lineage: Bacteria; Bacillati; Bacillota.
UAGGGAAUCUUCGGCAAUGGACGGAAGUCUGACCGAGCAACGCCGCGUGAGUGAAGAAGGUUUUCGGAUCGUAAAGCUCUGUUGUUAGAGAAGAACGUUGGUAGGAAUGGAAAAUCUACCAAGUGACGGUAACUAACCAGAAAGGGACGGCUAACUACGUGCCAGCAGCCGCGGUAAUACGUAGGUCCCGAGCGUUGUCCGGAUUUAUUGGGCGUAAAGCGAGCGCAGGCGGUUCUUUAAGUCUGAAGUUAAAGGCAGUGGCUUAACCAUUGUACGCUUUGGAAACUGGAGGACUUGAGUGCAGAAGGGGAGAGUGGAAUUCCAUGUGUAACGGUGAAAUGCGUAGAUAUAUGGAGGAACACCGGUGGCGAAAGCGGCUCUCUGGUCUGUAACUGACGCUGAGGCUCGAAAGCGUGGGGAGCAAACAGG